RNAcentral lists this ribosomal RNA (497 nucleotides) under uncultured bacterium. RNAcentral's name for it is "partial 16S ribosomal RNA". It matches the Rfam family "Bacterial small subunit ribosomal RNA", at positions 28 to 507 of the family's 1533-position model. The record is from RNAcentral.
GAUGAACGCUGGCGGCGUGCCUAAUACAUGCAAGUCGAACGGACAGGUGCGGCGCUUGCUCCUCUGACGUUAGCGGCAGACGGGUGAGUCACACGUGGAUCAUCUACCUGUAAGACUGGGAUCACUACGGGACACCGGAGCUAAUACCGGAUAAUCUAUUGCACCGCAUGGUUCAAUGGUGAGUGACGGUUUUGCUGUCACUUCUAGAUGGAUACGGGCCGGAUUAGCUGGUUGGUACGGUAACGGCUUAUCAAGGCGACUAUGCGUAACCGACGGGCGAGGGGGAUCGGCCACACGGGAACUGAGACACGGUCCAUACGCCUACGGGAGGCAGCAGUAGGGAAUCGUCCGCAAUGGGCGAAAGCCUUACGGAGCAGCGCCGCGUGAGUGAUGAAGGUCUUCGGAGCGGAAUACUCUGUUACGAGUGAAGAACAAAUGUGUAAGUAACCGAGUACUGCUUGACGGUACCGAAUCAGAAAGCCACGGCUAACUACGUG